AUGUCGGUUGUUUCCAAGAUGGUACGGACAUGCUUUUAGAACACAAGAUAACAUUAUUUGGUAACAAAAUAACACUUGCGUUAUGCAAAAGACACUGCAAAGGAUACAAGUUCACGGGACUACGGGCAGGUCAAUACUGUCUCUGUGGAAAUAAUAUCAACUCACAGAAGGCAUACCACCAACUAUUACCCGAAUCUAGUUGCAGCAUGAAAUGUUUUGGUGAACCUACUAGAAAUUGUGGUCACCACGGAGUUAAUUCCAUAUAUAGAGUAUGAGGCAGGCAGAGGAAAAAUUACUGUUUCAGAAAUUUUUCCUGAAUAAAGUAUACAAUUGCUGA
Molecule: long non-coding RNA, 337 nt
Organism: Mytilus californianus (California mussel)
Lineage: Eukaryota; Metazoa; Mollusca; Bivalvia; Mytilida; Mytilidae
Exons: 3
Source: RefSeq, a predicted model, not a curated record